GGGCCCGCACAAGCGGUGGAGCAUGUGGUUUAAUUCGAUGAUACGCGAGGAACCUUACCAGGGCUUAAAUGUAAGUUGCAUUAGUUAGAGAUAGCUAUUUCUUCGGACUACUUACAAGGUGCUGCAUGGUUGUCGUCAGCUCGUGCCGUGAGGUGUCAGGUUAAGUCCUAUAACGAGCGCAACCCCUGUCGUUAGUUGCCAGCAAGUUAAGUUGGGCACUCUAGCGAGACUGCCAGUGCAAACUGUGAGGAAGGUGGGGAUGACGUCAAAUCAUCACGGCCCUUACGUCCUGGGCUACACACGUGCUACAAUGGCCGGUACAGAGAGCAGCCACUUCGCAAGAAGGAGCGAAUCUAUAAAACCGGUCUCAGUUCGGAUCGCAGUCUGCAACUCGACUGCGUGAAGCUGGAAUC
Molecule: ribosomal RNA, 413 nt
Filed under: uncultured bacterium
Lineage: Bacteria
Description: bacterial SSU rRNA
Rfam family: Bacterial small subunit ribosomal RNA
Source: RNAcentral